This 858-nucleotide ribosomal RNA is filed under the name uncultured organism. RNAcentral's name for it is "bacterial SSU rRNA". It matches the Rfam family "Bacterial small subunit ribosomal RNA", at positions 527 to 1382 of the family's 1533-position model. The record is from RNAcentral.
GGAGGGUGCAAGCGUUAUUCGGAAUCACUGGGCGUAAAGGACGCGUAGGCGGGAAGCCAAGUCUGAUGUGAAAUCCUAUGGCUCAACCAUAGAACUGCAUUGGAAACUGGUUACCUAGAGUAUGGGAGGGGGAGAUGGAAUUAGUGGUGUAGGGGUAAAAUCCGUAGAUAUCACUAGGAAUACCUAAAGCGAAGGCGAUCUCCUGGAACAAUACUGACGCUAAGGCGUGAAAGCGUGGGGAGCAAACGGGAUUAGAUACCCCGGUAGUCCACGCCCUAAACGAUGAACACUAGUCGUCGGGAUGCUAGUCAUCUCGGUGAUGCACUUAACAGAUUAAGUGUUCCGCCUGGGGAGUACGGUCGCAAGAUUAAAACUCAAAGGAAUAGACGGGGACCCGCACAAGUGGUGGAGCAUGUGGUUUAAUUCGAAGAUACGCGAAGAACCUUACCUAGCCUUGACAUUGAUAGAACGGACCAGAGAUGGACCGGUGCCCUUCGGGGAACUUGAAAACAGGUGCUGCACGGCUGUCGUCAGCUCGUGUCGUGAGAUGUUGGGUUAAGUCCCGCAACGAGCGCAACCCUCGUCAAUAGUUGCCAGCAGGUUAAGCUGGGCACUUUAUUGAGACUGCCUUCGCAAGGAGGAGGAAGGUGAGGACGACGUCAAGUCAUCAUGGCCCUUAUGGCUAGGGCUACACACGUGCUACAAUGGGGCGUACAGAGAGUUGCGAUACCGCGAGGUGGAGCCAAUCUCAUAAAGCGUCUCUCAGUUCGGAUUGAAGUCUGCAACUCGACUUCAUGAAGCUGGAAUCACUAGUAAUCGUAGAUCAGCAAUGCUACGGUGAAUACGUUCCCGGGUCUU